CUAAGGUUUCUUGGGGAAGGUUCGUCCGCCCAAGGUUAGUCGGGAGCUAAGCUCAGGCCGAAAGGCGUAGGCGAUGCACAUACGGUAGAAAUUCCGUAACCACCGAACAUUUAAGCUAGAGGGACGCUUUCUUUAAGGUUAUCCCGGGCGAUGGUUGCCCCGGGCGUAAGGGACCGAAAUAUAGUAGGGAAGUAACUGGCGAGAGAGACGAGAAAAGCUCUAGUGUAUACUAAGGUGCCCGUACCGCAAACCGACACAGGUAGAUGGGAUGAGUAUUCUAAGGCCAACGGGAGAAGGGUUGUUAAGGAACUCGGCAAAUUGGCCCCGUAACUUCGGGAUAAGGGGCGCCUGCGAGAGCAGGCCGCAGUGAAAAGGCCCAAGCGACUGUUUAGCAAAAACACAGCUCUCUGCUAAAUCGAAAGAUGACGUAUAGGGGGUGACGCCUGCCCGGUGCUGGAAGGUUAAGGGGAGUGCUUAGCGCAAGCGAAGGUGCGAACUUAAGCCCCAGUAAACGGCGGCCGUAACUAUAACGGUCCUAAGGUAGCGAAAUUCCUUGUCAGGUAAGUUCUGACCCGCACGAAUGGCGUAAUGAUUUGGGCACUGUCUCAACAGCCCGCCCGGCGAAAUUGUAGUACCGGUGAAGAUGCCGGUUUCCCGCAACUAGACGGAAAGACCCCAUGGAGCUUCACUGUAGCUUGAUAUUGGAUCUCGGUAUUCCAUGUACAGGAUAGGUGGGAGGCUAGGAAGCGAGCGCGCCAGCGUUCGUGGAGCCAACCUUGGGAUACCACUCUUGGGAUAUUGGGAUUCUAACCUGCGACCAUGAAUCUGGUCGGGGGACACUGUCAGGUGGGCAGUUUGACUGGGGCGGUCGCCUCCAAAAGAGUAACGGAGGCGCUCAAAGGUUCGUUCAGCACGGAUGGAAAUCGUGCACUGAGUGUAAACGCAUAAACGAGCCUAACUGCGAGAAUGACGGUUCGAGCAGUAACGAAAGUUGGAGUUAGUGAUCCGGCGGUAUGUGAAUGGAAAUGCCGUCGCUCAACGGAUAAAAGCUACCCUGGGGAUAACAGGCUGAUCUCCCCCAAGAGUCCACAUCGACGGGGAGGUUUGGCACCUCGAUGUCGGCUCAUCGCAUCCUGGGGCUGAAUUCGGUCCCAAGGGUUUGGCUGUUCGCCAAUUAAAGCGGUACGCGAGCUGGGUUCAGAACGUCGUGAGACAGUUCGGUCCCUAUCUGUUGCGGGCGCAGGAAUAUUGAGAGGAGCUGUCCUUAGUACGAGAGGACCGGGAUGGACGUACCGCUGGUGCACCAGUUGUUCUGCCAAGGGCAUAGCUGGGUAGCUAAGUACGGACGAGAUAAACGCUGAAGGCAUCUAAGCGUGAAACUCCCCUCGAGAUAAGUGUUCCCAUCCUUCGGGAGUAAGGCCCCUUGUAGACUACAAGGUUGAUAGGUCAGGAGUGGAAGUGCAGUAAUGUAUGGAGCGGACUGAUACUAAUAGGCCGAGGGCUUGACCUU
RNAcentral lists this ribosomal RNA (1510 nucleotides) under human gut metagenome. RNAcentral describes it as "bacterial LSU rRNA". It matches the Rfam family "Bacterial large subunit ribosomal RNA", at positions 1345 to 2925 of the family's 2925-position model. The record is from RNAcentral.